RNAcentral lists this ribosomal RNA (1344 nucleotides) under uncultured bacterium. RNAcentral describes it as "16S ribosomal RNA". It matches the Rfam family "Bacterial small subunit ribosomal RNA", at positions 28 to 1378 of the family's 1533-position model. The record is from RNAcentral.
GACGAACGCUGGCGGCGUGCUUAACACAUGCAAGUCGAACGGAAAGGCCCUGCUUUUGUGGGGUGCUCGAGUGGCGAACGGGUGAGUAACACGUGAGUAACCUGCCCUUGACUUUGGGAUAACUUCAGGAAACUGGGGCUAAUACCGGAUAGGAGCUCCUGCUGCAUGGUGGGGGUUGGAAAGUUUCGGCGGUUGGGGAUGGACUCGCGGCUUAUCAGCUUGUUGGUGGGGUAGUGGCUUACCGAGGCUUUGACGGGUAGCCGGCCUGAGAGGGUGACCGGCCACAUUGGGACUGAGAUACGGCCCAGACUCCUACGGGAGGCAGCAGUGGGGAAUAUUGCACAAUGGGCGGAAGCCUGAUGCAGCAACGCCGCGUGCGGGAUGACGGCCUUCGGGUUGUAAACCGCUUUCGCCUGUGACGAAGCGUGAGUGACGGUAAUGGGUAAAGAAGCACCGGCUAACUACGUGCCAGCAGCCGCGGUGAUACGUAGGGUGCGAGCGUUGUCCGGAUUUAUUGGGCGUAAAGGGCUCGUAGGUGGUUGAUCGCGUCGGAAGUGUAAUCUUGGGGCUUAACCCUGAGCGUGCUUUCGAUACGGGUUGACUUGAGGAAAGGUAGGGGAGAAUGGAAUUCCUGGUGGAGCGGUGGAAUGCGCAGAUAUCAGGAGGAACACCAGUGGCGAAGGCGGUUCUCUGGGCCUUUCCUGACGCUGAGGAGCGAAAGCGUGGGGAGCGAACAGGCUUAGACACCCUGGUAGUCCACGCUGUAAACGGUGGGUACUAGGUGUGGGGUCCAUUCCACGGGUUCCGUGCCGUAGCUAACGCUUUAAGUACCCCGCCUGGGGAGUACGGCCGCAAGGCUAAAACUCAAAGGAAUUGACGGGGCCCCGCACAAGCGGCGGAGCAUGCGGAUUAAUUCGAUGCAACGCGUAGAACCUUACCUGGGUUUGACAUGGAUCGGGAGUGCUCAGAGAUGGGUGUGCCUCUUUUGGGGUCGGUUCACAGGUGGUGCAUGCCUGUCGUCAGCUCGUGUCGUGAGAUGUUGGGUUAAGUCCCGCAACGAGCGCAACCCUUGUUCACUGUUGCCAGCACGUUAUGGUGGGGACUCAGUGGAGACCGCCGGGGUCAACUCGGAGGAAGGUGGGGAUGACGUCAAGUCAUCAUGCCCCUUAUGUCCAGGGCUUCACGCAUGCUACAAUGGCUGGUACAGAGAGUGGCGAGCCUGUGAGGGUGAGCGAAUCUCGGAAAGCCGGUCUCAGUUCGGAUUGGGGUCUGCAACUCGACCUCAUGAAGUCGGAGUCGCUAGUAAUCGCAGAUCAGCAACGCUGCGGUGAAUACGUUCCCGGG